AGCAGCCGCGUAAUUCCAGCUCCAAUAGCGUAUAUUAAAGUUGCUGCAGUUAAAAAGCUCGUAGUUGAAUUUCGGGACCAUCAUGUCGGUCGUGCCUCGGUACGUACUGGCAUUGUUGGUUUCUCCCUUCUGACGAACCAUGAUGUCAUUUAUUUGGUGUUGUGGGGAAUCAGGACUGUUACUUUGAAAAAUUAGAGUGUUUAAAGCAGGCUCACGCUUGAAUACAUUAGCAUGGAAUAAUGAAAUAGGACGUUUGAUUCUAUUUUGUUGGUUUCUAGGAUCGACGUAAUGAUUAAUAGGGAUAGUUGGGGGCAUUAGUAUUCAAUUGUCAGAGGUGAAAUUCUUGGAUUUAUUGAAGACUAACUACUGCGAAAGCAUUUGCCAAGGAUGUUUUCAUUAAUCAAGAACGAAAGUUAGGGGAUCGAAGACGAUCAGAUACCGUCGUAGUCU
RNAcentral lists this ribosomal RNA (450 nucleotides) under uncultured Glomus. RNAcentral describes it as "SSU rRNA". It matches the Rfam family "Eukaryotic small subunit ribosomal RNA", at positions 569 to 1026 of the family's 1831-position model. The record is from RNAcentral. Lineage: Eukaryota; Fungi; Glomeromycota; Glomeromycetes; Glomerales; Glomeraceae.